UACCGUGCCACUUGGCAAAACAUCAAAAUACAUGGGCUGUAUUAGUAGACUGUCACCUGACGGGUUGAAAGUUCGGUUCAGUGCAUACAG
This is a small RNA of 90 nucleotides. It matches the Rfam family "RT-17 RNA". From Rfam's summary of the family: Bacteroidales (Bacteroidetes), Clostridiales (Firmicutes). Nearby to self- splicing intron genes The record is from Rfam.